This is a long non-coding RNA of Cuculus canorus (common cuckoo), 3217 nucleotides long. RefSeq lists it as uncharacterized. The transcript is spliced from 6 exons. Lineage: Eukaryota; Metazoa; Chordata; Aves; Cuculiformes; Cuculidae. The record is from RefSeq and is a predicted model, not a curated record.
CCCUCGCCCGGAUUGUUUCCUUCUCGUCUGCCGCCAACGUGGUUCUGAACGAUUGCGGUGUAGGGAACGGGAGCGACCUCCUCGCCAUCGCCGCGGUGCAGGCCCAGGGGCGGCGUGGGCGCUCCCGGCUCGGCGGGCGAAGGCCUCUCCCCGGGCGGCCGCGUCAGGGAGAGGAGGGAGAGGAGACAGCGCUCGCUGCCAGCGCAAAACGUCCCCUCUACGCUUUGCAGUUCAGCUUCCUCAGACCACGAGUCUAAUCUGGUCUCCGGUUUGCGCCAAUCUUCUGAACGAUCCCUGAUGUUUGGAAUUAUUUGAAGUUGUUGUGGCCAAACCUCGUAUUUGGGGGGCAAAUCCGCCCAGGGCUGUGUCCAACAAUCCCUGAUGGCUCAGAAAAUUUUCCCCAGUUUCUGAGCGAUCCCGCAGUUAAGGCAGACGAGCAACCCCGCUACAGGUUUGCAGUCGGACUUCAGGAGAAGCUCGCCGAGGUGCCCAGUGGCCGAGUCCAGAUGCAGUGUCAUUUUUCCUAAAUCACCGAAAAAAAAUCUGUGGGUGCUUACAGGAAAACUGGUCACUACACUAACUUGAUGUUAAAGAACUUUUAUAUCCUGUCUUUUUCUCACUUACAAAGGAAAAAAAAAAGGGUUAUUUUUAGAGGUUCUUUUGGGGACGUAUGCAGGGACAUCACAAGCAGUGUUUAAAUCUCACCACAGCAACUGAUUUUUCUAUGCUCUGUCAAUAACAUAUUUGCAGAACUGCCAGAUGGGGAGAGAAACUGCAGUGAGAAAAUAACGGUCAGGUUUGUAGUACUACAAGAAAAAAGGAUCAGAUAUUAGAUACUAGAUUUUAAAAACAUAUUUGGACUAACUUCAAACGUUUAAUGAACUUCUUAAACAGAAACUUUGCAUUGAUCUGUCUGCAACUAUGACAAAAGGGAAGGGUGGAAAAAAUCAUAGCUAAACGUGACACAAAUCCAAACUAAAUACUAUUAAUAAGGAAUAUAAGAAUGGUAAAUAUUUGGAUGAUAAAUCUUGUGGCAGUAUGGGAGUCAGAAGGUUGCUCUGAGCUUUGCAGUAAAGAUUUCUAAUAAGGUCUAUCUAGUCUCUCCUUCUUCCAUUAUGGAGAGGACUGGUAAAAAAAGUGGAGCUUUGAAAAAUUGAUUUUCCCAGGCUCCUCUGUAUACAAUAGCAUUAAAAACAAACAUUUAAGAUAGCAAACUUGCAAAACCUCAGUGCAUUUUUUAACCCAUUUUCAGGCAGCAUUAGAUCAACCACAGAAAUAAUUGCUGUCACUUUGUGCUUUUUGACCAAUAAUUCUCUGUAUUUCCUGCAAGAAACUUGAGUGAUGCAAAUUACCUUAUUUUUACAGCAUGCUUUUAUUAAAUAGUUUAUUAUUUUGGCAGACUAAUAAAGAUUUUGGUAUUUGCUUUUAUUUGCAAUAAUAUUACCACCACAUAAAAAAGGAUUUUAUGUUCUUUUUGAGGAACAAGGAGGAUAAAAGUGUUGAUGGAUAGUGCAACUAAGGCAUCAGCAAUGAGCUGGAAAUGAGACACAUAAAUAUGAAAGCAGAGCUAAGAAAAUAGAACUGCACCCUUGGCCUUUCUUAAAAGAACACGCACAUGCCAUGGUUCAUUCAUACAGUUACAGAAACUCCUUUUGUUUUCAGCAGGGAAAAGGACAAGAUUUCAAUGGGAGUUAUCCCUCCACAGACACCUCGCUGUUUUCCUUUUUAACCACUGCUUAUAUGGGAGAACAUUUAAUUCUAUCUACCUCAGACAUUAGACUAUGUCUUUCAUAGCAUUAAUUACCUAAUUGUUCAGAUAAACAAAUCAGGAUUUCCAAGAAAUAUUUAGGUAUCCUUGACGACCUCACUGGCUAUCCACCCACAUUUUUAGGCACCUGAUCAAUUAUUCAACGUGUUACAAACAAACAUAUUCCACCUGUUACAACAAUCUGGCAUAUUACUUUCUUGAUACGUGAUGAUACAAUACCUCUCAGGUUUGCUGAGUAGCAAAGAGAAAUGUGACAUGUGCAUGGAGAACAAGAAGUGCUACCCUAAAGAUCAUACUUAACAUAUCUACCCAUGGACAGCGAACAAUAAACAGCCUCUGGAGCUUGGCAGAAGUUUCAGUCAAAGGUCAUCAUGGACUUUGCAUAGUUUUGUUUCUUGUAUGAUAAGUAGUCAAAUAAAUUUUCAGACAUUGGAAGUGUAUUUUUCUAUAACACAAAUUUUUAAGCAGGUUUCUUGGCAUGCAUUUUGUUUGUACUGUGCUUGAGGUUGGUUAUGGCAUUAGUGGUUUGUGUGUUUGUGCAUGUUUGCAUUCCGUCUGUUUAUGAAGUAUUUCACUGGUACCCUUACACAGCAUGUGGUCGGUUGAAGAUUGUUUUUGAUAGCCUGCGUAGUCAUCAUGCAUUUUGCUGAAAGGCUUUUACACUAAAAUACGUUAAACACUGCUUGUCAGUUAAGUAAAGACAGGCUUGCAGGUUGUACUCAUCUUCACAGAAGUUAGAUAAAAAAAAUACCUGCACCAUUUUAAAGGUGAAAGUGUGAGUUGGUGGCAAUUUUUCCAACAAUCACGGCAGUUUGGUCUAUUUGAGUAUCAUCAAGAUAGGCCAAUUCUAUUAAUAACUGGAACAGUAGUAUAUUUUUACUAUCCUAGAUGUCAAAAAUAAUUAACAAAUGACUCAUUAUAGUAUAGUAAUACCAUGUGUGUAAGUCAUUUUUUAUAUGAACUACAGAAGCAAACCCAAACCUCUAGGAAGAUAAUAUAAAUCACUUCAGUCUGUAAUUGACAGCUAAGUAUAGGCAAUACUUUCAGGACCCACACACAGGGUUGUGAAAUUAAUCUGUGAAUUACUCUGGGCUUAGAUUGUUAGCUGAUAUUUUUCCUAGUGUUUUGAAAGUAUAGGUUGUUCAGCAUGUGUCUAACAAAACAUUACAGGAAUAGUAUUUGCAAAAAAAUGUAGAUGCUGAACACCUCUAGACACUUACAGGCAUCAGUUCAGUAAGGAUUUUGUGAAUGCUACAGAAUAAAAUAUUGUGUUUUUAUUUAGAUGCCUCACAGCUACUUUAGGAACGUAAUUCUCCCCAUGAAUCUUGUCCUAUAGUUCAAGAAACAUUGCUUCUGCAGAAAUUAUUAAGAAUGUGCAUGAAACUUAAACAGAGCUGACCAAUAAUAAAUGCUUAUGAAAAUUUCACUAUUUUAUUACUAUUUUUACUA